Molecule: transfer RNA, 69 nt
Filed under: marine eukaryotic metagenome
Rfam family: tRNA
About the family: Transfer RNA (tRNA) molecules are approximately 80 nucleotides in length. Their secondary structure includes four short double-helical elements and three loops (D, anti-codon, and T loops).
Source: RNAcentral
CCCAUAGCUCAGUUGGUUAGAGCAGCGGACUCAUAAUCCGUCGGUCGUAGGUUCGAGUCCUACUGGGCC